GUUCAGCUUUUGGGCCCUUUCUCACUUUGGAGAUUCUUAAUUUCUUAUCCAUUGGAGAUUAGAGGAAUUUGAAAACUGAAUAUUGAUUUUUUUUUGGGCCAAUAGUCAGCAUCUCUUUGUGCAAUGCACAUCUAGUUGUGCAUUGGUAAGCCUGUGGUAGUCAGAAUAAUGGCCCCUGAGGAUGUCCAUAUCCUAAUCCCAGAAACCUGUAAAUAAUUUUGCAAAUGUAAUUUAAUUAAGGAUCUUCAACUGGAGAGAUUAUUCUGGAUUAUCUGGUGAUAUGGUUUGGCUGUGUUCUCACCAAAAUCUCAUCUUGAAUUGUAGCUUUCAUAAUUACCACGUGUUAUGGGAGGGACCCCGUGGGAGGUAAUUAAAUCAUGGGAUGGGUUUUCCCCCAUACUGUUAUCGUGGUAGUUAAUAAGUCUCGUGGGGUCUGAUGGUUUUAUAUAUGGCAGUUCGUCUACACAAGCCCUCUUGUUUGCCACCAUGUAAGACACAGCUUUGCUCUUCCUUCAUCUUCCACCACAAUUGUGAGGCCUCCUCAGCCAUGUGGAACCGUGAGUCCCUUAAACCUCUUUCCUUUAUAAAUUACCCAGACUCAGGCAUGUCUUUAUUAGCAGCAUGAGGACAGACGAAUAUGUCUGGGUGGGCUCAACCAAAUCACAUGGGUCCUUAAAGUGAAGACGUUUUCAAGGUCAGAGAGGGAGAGAUGUGGCAAUGGAAGAAGGGUCAGAGAGAUGUAACGUUGCUACUUUGAAGAUGAAGGAAGGGAACCAUGAGUCAAGGUAAUGUGACCAGCAAAACUGCAGAAGCUGGAGAGGGCAAGGAAGCAGCUUCUCACCUAUAGCCUCCAGAAAGGAACACUGGCUUGCCAACACCUAGUUUUAGCCCAGUGAGCUCCAGGUUGAACUGAUCUACAGAAAGAAUGACAAGAUAACACAUUUGUGCUAUUUUAAACUUACAUUUGUGGCAACUUGUUACAACCACAAUAGGAAGUGAAUACUACAGGCAUCUAAAUCCUAACAAUAUUUCAUACCCAUUCAUUCUCAUAUCCUUCCUUUCCUUCAGAAAGAUUUCUAUGAAGUCACUUGCAGCUAAGCUUUAGGCUCAUUUUGAACUCAACAUUGAGAAAAAAGUUAGCUCCAUAGAGAGAUUAACUAUAAAAAAACUUUGAAUUUGGUAAGCCAUUGUGUGUUUGGACAUAAGGAGUAAUAUAGGCAUCUUGUCCUAUUCCCUCAGAUAUAUAUUUUUAAAUUAAAAAUGGAUGCUCAGAGAAGGGAAAUACUUCUCUAAAGUUGCCCAGGAAAUUAAUGUCAGGAUAAAAAUUAAAAUUUUGGUUUUUCAUCUUCUAUUCCACCAUUCUUAAGAUUACUUUUUUAAAAAUAGGUUAAAAGUACUAUCUGUCCAGACGCUGACCCACAUAUAUUUUAUGAUCUUAUUUACCACAAAAACAUAACUGACAUUUAAAGGGAAAAGAAAGAUUUUUGUUUGGUCAACUGAAUAUCCAUAUGGACAAAAAUCAGCCUUGACCCUUCUUUCAUACCAUAUGCAAAAGUUAAUUAAAGAUAGAUUAUAGACACAGAUGAGAAAGGUAAAAUAAUAGGGACUCUAGAAGAAGACAUAGAAAAAAUCAUGACGUUGAGGGAAACAACUCUUAAAUAAGACAUUAAAAAAAUCACCAGCCAGAAAAGAAAAUUUAUGGUGCUCAGUAAUUAGGCCAUUCUUUUUCUGUUGGGAUUUCAUGAAGUUCUCUAAAGGGAAUUUUACAGUUUGAUAAAUGAAAUAUUAUUAAAAUUAAGAACAUUUGUUUAUUGAAAGACACCGAUAGUAAAAGUCACAGAUGGAGAAAGACAUUUGCAACACAUAAAUCUGAAUAGGGUUCAUAUUAGGAAUAUGUAAAGAAUUAUUAAUAGGAAAAAGACAAGUCAAUGACAGUGGAAGACAGACAAUGGAGACUUCGAAGGGGGAACGGGUUGGGGGAAAGGUAAUGAGAAUUACUUAAUGGGUACAAUGCAUGUUGUCUGGGUGAUGAAUAUUCUAAAGCUUUGAAUUGACCAUUAUUCCAUCUAUGGAUAUAACAAUAUUGCACUUGUACUCCGUAAUUUUAUGCCACAGAAAGCUAGCAAAGACUUGAAAAGGCAAGAACUGGAGUAUAAAAGAGGUAUCACAAUGGCCAAAAGUCAUGUGAAAGCUGCUCAGCAUAUUAGCCACCAGAGGAAUACAAAUCAAAUGUCAAUGAAAUGCUAUCCCACGCCCACCAGAAAGGCUGAAAUUAAAAGGACUAAUAAUACCUAGAGUUGUCAGGCAUCUGGAGCAACUGGAACUCUCAUACACUGCUGUACUACAGUUCUUCAUCAUAUUGCUUUUAAGUUUUUUGAUGGCCAAACUCAUCUUUUAUUCAUAUUUCUCCCACCUUCUUGCCUGCUCUGUGCCAAUAAUAAGUGCUCAAGUGUUUGGACUUUAAGUUCCACUCUAGACAAAAAGCCACCAGCACACACACAUAAAAGCAGUAGUGACGCUGAUGAGAAGAGAUGGCCCAAAUAAUUUUCCAAAAUGAGUCUGAUAGACAGUUUUUGCACCAAACUGCCUGCCUUUCCCUAGGCAAAUGUGCAACUCUUCAUGCUGAGUGUGAUUCCAUGGCCUCAGGAAGCAGCCCAGCACUAUGGACUCCUGGGCUCUGUAGUUAGACAAUUGCUGGAUAGUAUCCCAUAUCAGCCAUUUCCCAGCUGUGUGACCUUGAAGCAAAUGACUCAACCUCUCUGUGCCUUGAUUUUCUCAUUUACAAAACAAAUAGUAAUGGUAUCUACUUUAUAGGAUUGUAGUGAGUAUAAGUGAGAAGUUAGAAGCAAAACAUCUGUCCAACUUUAGGUGCUCAGUAAUUAGACAAUUCUUUUGCUUUUGAGGCUUCAUGAAGUCUUCUAAAGAGGAUUUUACACUUUGCAUGAUGGUAAUCCAUUUUUUUGAGAGCAGUUGCAAAUUCUUCUUUGCGUUUCUUCUGGAAAUAUCUUUUGUGUACCUUUAAAACUGCCCGUCAAUAAAAGCUCUGACCAGCAUUGUCCAAGACCUCCACACUUUGUGGCCAGUAGAUUUGGAGGUCCUUUCCUUAAGAAAGACAGGGCUUUGGGAACCCCCAAUGCAUUGAUUACCUUUAUGUCCUAUCAGGAUGGACGAGACAGUGAUCAGGAAGGAAGCCACAAAAGAGCAGCCCAUAACCCUCCAUCAUCAUCAGCUCCUACAGCAAAGGCAGAGAGGCCCUGGAACCAAUACAGGUCCCUGCUCCAACAAGAGUGGCAAUUCCAACAACAGCAAAUCAACACAAUCUACGAACUCUACAACUGUCAGGUUAAAGAACAUCACCAUGUAAAGAAAACUAAUGUGUCAUGCGACUCUCUUUGACCUUUAUGGAUAUUGCUUCAUCCUUGCUACAGGCAGAAAAUCAGCGUUUAGCAUGGCUGAGAUGAGGACAUUGAGGUGCAGUUUGGUCAAGAGAUUUACUUGCUCAAGAUCUUCCAAGGUGCUUGUAUCAGCUUGCUGAUCAUGUGAGUGAGGCACCCUACGAGUGGAUAUGCCACCUCCCAUCAACACUUCAGAUGAAAGCAGCCUCAGUGGACAACUUGACUGCAACCUCAUUCAAGAGAGAUCUUGAAUUAGAACAGUUCAGCUAAGCUGCCUCCAAACUCCUGACCCACAGAAACCGUGAGAGAUUCUAAAUAUUUACUGUUUUGAUUCACUAAGUUUUGCAAUAAUUUGUUAUGUAGCAAUGGAUGGUAAGUACAGGCAGGCGGUGAGUCUAGAAGAAAGUGAGCUUUGGAGGAAUGCUGAGAAUUAGGUUAGAGAGGGAGCAUGUGUUAAUAUCAUAUACAGCUUGUACUUUUUGAUAAGGAAUUUGAAUUUAUUCUGAACUGAUGGAAAAUCAUUCAAGGAUUUUGCUCACAGAGGCAGCAUUAUGUUUUUAAAAUAUCAUCUAGACCACUGAAUAGACAACCAAACGUGGACACAAGAGCACAGGCAGGGAGACCUGUUAGGUAUCUAUGUGGUUUAUCCAUGUAAAAUGUGAUAGUAGCGUGGUCUUUCAGGCUCUGUUUGAAUGGUUCAAUCAAUGGAAUUUUCUGAUAGGUUGGGUGUGACAUUUGAGAAAGUAAAAAGCCAAGGUGAAUUCAAGGUUUUUUUUUUUUUAAAUAUCAGAAACUGGGAGGAAAAGAUGUCUUUUGUGGAGGUAAGGGUCAACAGUGGUAUUGUUGACCACUGGUGGUAGUAGGGGCAGAUUUGAAGGUUAAAGAAUGCCAUAUUUAGAGAUCAGUAAGAGGAAGAGGAGCCAUGCAUGAAGACUGAGAAGGAAUAUCCAGGGAGGUAGGAAGAAAAUCAGGAGAGUUCACAGUUCUAGGAGCCAUGGUAAGAAAGGGCUUAAAGAAGCAAGAGUGAAUAACUGGAUGAGAGUGUUUUAGUAAGAGGAGCUAAAAACUAAGCCCUGAAUUUGGCAUAGUGAAGAUUGUUGCUAAACUUAGGAAUAACAAACUGUCUUGCAGAUACACUUAUAAAUUCAUUAACCCCAAAGCAUAUUUUGCUAGGUCUUCUUUUCUAUGCUAUAAGAAAAUAAAUGUAACCACAACUAUUUGUCCCUCAUCUGUCAAGUUUAUGUGGUGAUCUUCAUUUUGUGAAUCUCCUCCAUAUCAACUGAUUUAUUAAUGGCACCUGAAUCUUCACCCUUGGAGAACUGUAGUUAUGAAAAACCUGCCUUGGACUGAAAGUUAAGAAUCUAAGUGUCAAUUUUUGCUUUUGUUGCAAUGCUUUUGGGGUCUUGGUCAUGAAAUAUUUGCCUGUUUUUAUGUCCAAAAUGGGUAUUGCCUAGGUUGUCUUCCAGGGUUUAUAUAGUUUUUUGUUUUACCCUUAAGUCUUUAAUUUAUCUUGAUUUGAUUUUGUUUUUGUUUGUUUUGCUUAUAGAGGCAGUAUUAGGUUUUAAAAAUAUCAUGCAGACUACAGAAUAGACAAUCAAACAUGGGCACAAGAGUGCAGGCAGGGAGACUACAAUGGUGUAAGAAAGGGGUAGAGUUUCAUUCUUCUGCAUGUGGCUAGCCAGUUAUUUCAGCGCCAUUUAUUGAAUAGGGAGUCUUUUCCCCAUUGCUUGUUUUUGUCACCUUUGUUGAAGAUCAGAUCGUUGUAGGUAUGUGGCCUUAUUUCUAGGCUCUCUGUUCUGUUCUAUUGGUUUGUAUGUCUGUUUUUGUACCAAUACUAUGCGGUUUUGGUUACUGUAGCCCUGUAGUAUAGUUUGAAGUUGGUUAAUGUAAUGCCUCCAGCUUUGUUCUUUAUGCUUAGAUUGCCUUGUCUGUUGGACUUUUAUUUGGUUCCACAUGAAAUUUAAAAUAGUUUUCUCUAGUUCUAGCUUCUAGUUUCUAGAAUUGCAGCAGUAGUUUAAUAGGAAUAGUGUUGAAUCUAUGAAUUGCUUUGGGCAGUAUGGUCAUUUUAAUGACAUUGGUUCUUCCUAUCCAAGAGCAUGGACUAUAUUUUCAUUUGUUUGUGUUGUCUCUGAUUUCUUUGAGCACCAUUUUGUAAUUCUUCUUGUAGAGGUCUUUAAUUUCUCUGGAUAGCUGGAUUCCUAGAUAUUUUAUUCUUUUUGGACAGUUGUGAAUGGGAUUGCAUUCCUGAUUUGGCUCUCGGCUUGACUGUUGUAUAGAAAUGCUAGUGAUCUUUGUGUGUUGAUUUUGUAUCCUGAGACUUCACUGAAGUUGUUUAUCAUUAACAAAUGGAAUCUAAUUAGACUAAAGAGCUUCUGCACAGCAAAAGAAGCUAUCAAUAGAGUAAACAGACAAGCUACAGAAUGGAAGAAAAUUUUUGUGAACUGUGUGUCUGACAAAGUUCUAAUACCCAGCAUCUAUACGAACUUCAACAAAUUUACAAAAAAAAAUCCCAAACAAGCCCAUUAAAAAAUGGUCAAAAUAGAUGAACUGACACUUCUCAAAAGAAGACGUACAUGCAGCCAACAAGCAUAUGAACAAAAGCUCAACAUUAUUGAUCAUUAGAAAAAUGCAAAUCAAAGCCACAAUGUGAUACCAUCUCACACCAGUCAGAAUGGCUAUUAUUAAAAAAUUUAAAAAUAACAGAUGCUUGCAAGUUUUUGGAGAAAAAGGAAAGAACUUAUACACUGUUGCUAGGAGUGUAAGUCAGUUCAACCAUUGUGGAAAGCAGUGUAGCAAUUCCUCAAGGAGCUAAAAGCAGACCUACGAUUUGACCCAGCAAGAACUAUUCAAAUACCCAAAGUAAUAGAAAUUAUUCUAUAAUAAAGACACAUACAUGCAAAUGUUCACUGCAGCACAGUUCACAAUAGCAAAAACAUGGAAUCAACCUAAAUGUCCUUCAAUGAUAGACUGGAUAAAAAAUUGUGAUACAUUUUUGUACGAUGAAAUAAUAUGCAGCCAUUAAAAAAUAAGAUCAUGUUCUUUCCACUCACUGGGGCCAACAAAAGGGUGGAGGGUGGGAGGAGGGAGAGGAUCAGGAAAAAUAACUAAUGAGCACUAGACUUAAUACCUGGGUGUCAAAAUAAUCUGUACAAUAAACCCCCAUGACAUGGGUUUACCUAUAUUAUAAACCUGCACGUGUACCUUUGAACUUAAAAUAAAGGUUAUGGCCAGGUGCGGUGGCUGACACCUGUAAUCCCAGCACUUUGGGAGGCUGAGCCAGGUGGAUGACGAGGUCAAGAGAUCGAGACCAUGGUGAAACCCUGUCUCUACUAAAAAAUACAAAAAUUAGCUGGUUGUGUUGGUGCGUGCCUGUGGUCCUAGCUACUUGGGAGGCUGAGGCAGGAGAAUUGCUUGAACUUGGGAGGCAGAGGUUGCAGUGAGCUGAGAUCACACCACUGCACUCCAGCCUGGCACCUGGAGACAGAGCAAGACUCUGUCUCAAAAUAAAUAAAUAAUAAAAGUUUAAAUAAAUAGAAAUUUUAAUGUCUAUUGGAAAGAAGAAGAGCUAAAUAUGAGGGGGCCAGGUGGAGCAGGGGUCAGGUAAUAAACUCCUGGUUUAAUCCUCUGGGCCUGAUGGAAUCAUGGAAAGUUGUCCUCUAGGUAUUUGACAUUUUCACUUUGUACUUUAUUAGUCCACUAGUCAAUAGAGAGUUGUAAAGGUAGGAAGGAGAUACUAACUGCAUUUAGGAAACUAUUGUGACAAAACAGGAUUUGGGUCAUAGAGUCUUUAGGGAUAAAGAAAUGUUUUUGCUGGAUUUCAGGGACCUAUAAAAAGUGUAGGAAGUAGAAUGGGGGUGGUGUCCUCAGAAGAUUUGUAUGAUUAAGUAAAGAAUUACAGAUCCAAGAAAUUCCCUUUCUUCGGCACUAGAAAAUUUGAAAGACAGGCAUAUUGUAAAUUCCUUGCCUCGGUUUCUCUGCCUGAAGACACACAUUGCCUCAACCUCUGAUGUUUCCAUCACAAGCUUCUCUGAAAGAGAUCAAGGGAGCCCCUCCCUCUCACAUCUGCAAACAGCCAUCCACUCCCAGAGGAAGUGGCUAUUUAUGCAGGUGAGCAAAGCAAAUCUGAGAAGGAAGUGAAGUAUAUCUCCUCCUCUCUGCAAGUCUACAGCUUUUUUCCCUCUUAUUUGGAACUUUUAAAUAAGAUUACAUACACAAGGCUCUGGUAGUUAGCGGGUGCUCAGCUAAAACCACUCAUCAUUAUUGGUGUUGCUUGCCUUACAUUCUGGGUAUUGGUUUCCUUCCUACUGGACUUAUCUCCCUACCAGGUGAGAGCACCUUGAGAGAAGGAGUGCUUUUUAUUCACCAUAUAAUCCCAAAGCCUAGUGCAAUCUUACAUAGUAAGUGUAUGGCUUAACGCCGAAUUUAAAUUUAAACUCAGUGUUUGUCUCUGUGGCUGUACAGUUUUUGUACCUCCCCACAAAGCUGACUAACUUUAAUUAAUUUUGAUUUCUCAGGGGAUGCUAAAGCAAUGUGGUCAUUCAUUCAUUAAUUUAAUUGGUAUUAGCUGGUCAUGCUAGAUAUUGCACCCAAGUGAGAAAGAUAGACAUGGUUCCUUCUCUCUCAAAGCUUACAAUCUAAUGUCAUAGCUCCUCCACCAGAUUUACCAUGGGAACUUUAAAAAAAUAUUACUCCCAGGACCACAUUUCUAUCCUAUUGAUUAAUAAGUAUUCAUAAUGGGGACUGGGGAGUAGCAAGUACUCCUGUGUGAUUCUGGGACUGCCCCUUUGGAUGAAUCACAGAGUUAUGUCAGAGGGAAUGACAUAUGUAUGAUUCCCAAUUCUAUAACUUACUUUGGGACCUGGGGGAAGUCUCUCAACCUACCUGACCCUCAGUUUGUUCAUCUACAAAGUGAGAAAUAUGUCUCUCCUUCCUAUCUCCAAGGGCUGAUGUGAGAAGAAUAUGAGAGAAUCAAUAGUCGUGUGCUUGGUAUACUUUACAUUUCUCUAUACAAAUUAUAAAUCAUUGUUAUUAGGUAUUAACCAGUAUUUAGGACUUACUAAUUUAAAAAUACAUUACUGGAGCACCUACCGUCCAAAAGUUAGAGUCCUUUAUCUCUCUUGGACUCUGGAUAGGGAUUCACUAAACUGGCUGUAAAAUUAGUGGCUGAUGACAUUUUAAUGUAGUACCUCUCCAAGUAGAUUUGCAUUUAACAUCUUGAAGAAAAUCAUGAAAUAAUAUAAUUGAUAAUAAUAAUAGCAAUCAUUUUAUGAAAAUUUUACAGUGUGCCAAGUGCUGGGCUAAGCGCUUUACCUAGAGCUGAAAAUAACUUUUGUUUAUAAGACUGCUUAUAAGAGGCCACAAAUCAAUGCAUAUUUGAUCAUUUUUUUUAACCUUAAUCAUAUUUUAAGAGUCAGUGCAACUAAGAAUAAGACAAAUUUAAUAGAAAUAGAAAAAUCGUAAUCUUUAUUGUCUCACAAAAGAUUGACGGCAGACCCCACUGUCAGCUGCUUGAGCCUCUGACUUAAGCUCAACCUUCCCAUUUCACAGAUUAAGAAUCUGAUGCUCAGAAAGGUGACAUGGCUUACGGAUACUCCUUGCAUCUGUCUGAGUGCCCCGGCUUUUAUAUAAAAUCACCUCUUCCAUUUAGCAGCCAUCACAUUCUCCAGUUCAGUCAAUUAACCUGGUGCCUCAGCCUUCCACCAAGUCAUCCACCACAGGCUGAGCAAAGCCUCCUCCUUCAUAGCAUGACCUGCCCUGAUCUCCAGCCCUUGGUGUCUCUCAGAAGGCUUCCUCAGGCUCUAUGUCUUUCAUGUGUUCUCUCCUCUGCCCCAGUGUACAUCACAGAGAAAGGUUCUGUUGGGUGUAAAGUCUUGCCAUUUCCACUUAUGAUUGCCCCCUCACCUCAUUAGCCACUUGGUACCCUUUGUCUGGAAGAUGGGUUUCUGACGGCAAUUUAAGCAGUCAGUUUAAUUGGAAGAUUAGGAAAGACCUGGUGUCUCGGCAAUCAUUUGAGAAUAGACUGAGCAAUGGUCCAUUUUAAAGCAUAUUCCAGCUUUCAGUUUCUGCAUAUUUUUCACAGUUCCCAAACUCUUCUAAAUUGUUGUGGCACCACUGGUCCCUUCGUGUGUACAUGUCUGUGUCCAAGCAUUACCUCUGCAGAGAGGUCUUCUUGAUGGUCUUGUUUUUUGUGGACCUCCGUUGCUUCCUGUGACUCUGCAAUAUGGUGGUGGACUGACUACUGGCCUCAAGUCCUAACCUCUUUUUGUAUCUAUAUCCUUUGCCAUGUCAUCUGGCAUUUUCUCACUCUAAAGGGGAUGUGGCAGACAGACUGUAAGGUUGUAAGGUAUUAUUCCCAAGACCCCACCUCCUGGUAUCAUGCCUGUGUGUAAUUUUCUCCCUUGGAAUGUGGGCAGGACCUGCAUCUUGUUUCCAACCAAUAGAAGAUGGCAAAGGUGAUAGGGCAGGAUUACAAUGUGAAUGCAAUUAUGUGACUACAUUUUGUCGGAAGACACCAUCUUGCUGUCAGACUCACUCUCCAUUGCUGGCAGUGAAGAAGCAAGCUGCUAUGAAGCAUGACCUUGUGGGAAAAGCCCAUGUGCAAGGACUACCAGCAGCAUCUAGAAGCCAAGCAAGAAACUGACGUCCUUGGAUUUACAGCCAGGAGGAAAUUAAUUUGGCCAAUAAUCUGAGUGAGUCUGGAGGUAGGUCCAUCGCCAGUUGAGUCUCCAGAUGAGAACAGAGCCUUGGCUGACACCUGAAUUGCAGUCUUGCAGAGAAUGCAACAAAGCCUUGUCCAAACACUUGACCUGCAAAAGCUAUGAGAUGACAAGUGUGUUUUGGUAUAAGUUGCUGUUUGUGGUCUUAUGCUAUACAGAUUAGAAAACUAAUGUGGCAUAUUUUCUUACUCUUCACUUUGGGUUCUGCUUUGUCUCAUAGAAUUUGGCAGAAAUACCAUUGUGCCAGUCCCAUGCAUGACCAUUAAGAGGUUUCAUCUGUUUUUGCUCACUGUCAUAAGUUUUUGUCUUUGUUGGGAGAAACACAUGCUAGGCUAACUCACUGGUUUCAGAAAGAGGUAGAGAAACAUGGAGAGAUAUUUCCCAUAAGUCCAUCCUAGACUGGUCAUUUCCCAAUGGACCUGCAGAUAUUCGAGAUACAUAUGCUAUUAUUGUUGUAUGCCACUGAAUGUGGAUCAGUGUGAUUCAAUGGGUAUCUGGCAGUCUUCUGACUCUUAGCCAGUGAAUUUUCACCUGCACCAUAUUUUAGUGCAAAGCAACAGAAACUAAAGGCUGGUAUUUAUAUUUGCAUAAUACUUCAGGAUCUGGAGUUAGAAUGUGGAAUUUACAGAGAAGAAUCAGGAAGGAAUUCUUUAAAAUAGUUGAAAUUAUGUACUAAGUUUUAUGUUUUGUGCAUUUUGUGGAAGACAUAAUCUAUAAUGGUUCCUCAUAUUUUAAAAGGGAUUCAUAACAUUCUACCUGUUUACGAAACACUGAUAAUAAUGGAAAUCAUAUUCUUCCCUUCUUAGUCCAGGGAAUGGUAUAGUUCAUUGAAGAAACAUAAUUCCCAGACCCAAGUCAUUUCUCAAAUCUUUUUAAAAACUUUAUGGAUUAAUUUUUGGUGACUUUCAGACAAGACGCUAUUUCUUUAUACCCAUGCAUUUUCUUUAUCAGUUUAAAAAUAACAUUUCCCUAAAAAGAGUGAUUCUAAUAAAGACAUUUUAAAAAAUCCAAACACCAAGACACAUUAAGAAUGUGAAUUCUGUUAAGCUAUUUCAGUUUUCUGACUCUGAAAUAUUAUUUGCCUCUAUGUGAGUAUGGCAGUUUGGUAGGAAGCAUGUAUCUCCACCUCUGCCCCUUGGUUUACUUAGCCUCUAUGUUGGGACAAUCAUAGCUAUAUUGACAGGGUUGCUGUGGGGACUAAAUGAACUGAGAUGUGGAAACAUGUUUGGCACAAAGGCCUCAGUCACUGUUGAAAGUUAUAAUAUAUUACACUUUACACAGCCUCUGCUCAAUUUGCAACUCUUCAAAGUGGAAAGACCAACCUCUGUCCAAAGUGGUUACAGUGGGAGUAGAAAUGCGCUGUUUGUUGACCAUUCACCCCUGCAUCUCUCUUUGGGAGCAGUAUUAUUUGGAGUGUAAGUGGCUAUUGUGGUAAACAUGUUGAAGAAGGAAGAAUCCAGGAUGGUUUAACAAUAAAAGAAACAAUUAGUAUUUUUCUUGUUUUGCUAAAGACUUAAAGAGGCACUCAGAGAAUUCUCAAAUAUUAAGGAGACUUACAGAUAACUAAUCCACUUUUCUCCACUCCCAUCGAGAGUGCCUAGUCUCAGCCAUCAAUCCAUCUCUUAUUAAGAGCAAUUAACUGGUCUCCCUCCCUCCAGUCCUGCUCCCUUUAAUUUAUUCUCUUCACUGCAGCCAGAAUAAUCUCUCCAAAAUACAAAUCAGAUAUGUUCUCUUCAAGGCCUUCAGUAGCCCUUCGAUCAUGUUAGAAUAAAGACCAGACUUUGUAUGUAUUCAAAGCUGGGCAUUUUCUUCUCUCUCACUCCACCCCUCCUCAUUCUCUGUGUCGGACGCUUUAAAUUUCACCUAGUUCUUCCAAUCCCUCCCAACUCUCUCUAAUGGUGGUGGUUGAGGGAAUUCAGUACAUUUUAUUCCUUUAUUUCGUGCCUGGCUCUGGAGGAAGAUGAAAUCGACAUAGGCUAUUAGAAUAUCACCCUUCUAACUAAUGAUGCUGUAAAAGAAACAUGUGACAUUAGGACCCCAUUUGCCAAAGGGGCUUCUAAUUCUUCACCCCUAAAUUACGUGGAGUCAUCCACUCACAUUCUCGGUAGAACUGAGUGACCACGUGUCUUCCACAAUGGGGAAUUUUCCCUUUGAAAGCUAGGGCAUGGAGGAGCAGAGCAGAAAAUCUUUGAAAUCUGUGGGUAGGCAACAAUUUCUUCGAUUGGACACAAAAAGCACAAGUCAUAAAAGAAAAUAAAUAAUAAGUUGUACUUCAUAGAACUACCACUCUUCAAAAAAACACCAGUAAAAAAUGAAAAAGCAAGGCAUAGACAGGAGACAAUAGUUGCAAAGAUACAGCUGAUAGUUUAUACUAGACUAUAAAAAGAACUCUCACAACUCAUUAAUAAGAAAAUAAACAAACUAGUUAAGAAAUGGGCAAAAAUUUUCAACAGAUAUUUCACCAAAGAAGAGAUGGUAGCAAAUAAGCACUUGAAUAAAUGCUCAACGUCAUUAGUCAUUAAAGAAAUACAAAUUAAAAUUACAAUGAGUUGUUACCGUAUACCAAUUAAAAUGGUUGGGGGUCUAAUGAUAUCAAUAGUAGGGGAGAUGGGGAAAUGGAGACAUUUCUUACAUUGUUUAUUGGAAUAUAAAAUGGUACCAGAAAUUUGGAAAACGUUUUGAUUUUUAUAAAGUUAAACAUGCACUUAUUAUAUGUCUUAGUUUGCUAGGGUGGCCUUAAUAAAAUACUACAGAUUGGUAUGUCAUUGGCUUAAACAACAAAAAUUAAUUUUUCUCAUAAUUCUGGAGUUUAGAAAUCCAAGAUCAAGGCAUUAGCAGGUUUGAUUUUUCCUGUGGCCUCUUUCAAAAUACAUCUUCAAUACAAAUUCUAUCUAUAAAUACGUUCACAUUAUGAGGCACUAGGGGUUAGGGCUUCAGCCUAACUCCUAGUGGGAACGCAAGUGGGCCUCUAACACCAUACGAUCCAGAUACUUGACUUGGGUAUUUAUCCUACAUGAAUAAAAACGUAUGUUCAUACAAAGACGUGUAUCAGAAUGAUUAUAGUGCCUUCAUCCAUCAUCAAAAACUGGAAACAACCCUGGUGUCCAUCAAGUAACGAAUGGAUAAACAAGAUGCAAUGCACCUAUAAUAUGAAAUUCUACUCAAUCAUGAAAAGAAAAACGAUUAAUGUAAGGAACGACAUAAAUGAAUCUUGAAAGCAUUAUGUUAAGUCAAAGAAGUUAGACACAACAAGCUACAUGCUGUAUGAUUCCAUUUAUAUAACAUUCUGGAAAAAGCAAAACUAUGGGAACAGAAAUGAGAUCAGUGGUUGCCUGGCACUGGGGCUAGGGGAGGGGAGUGGAUGCAGAGGUACAUAAGGGAGCUCCGGUGGAUGAUGAUGGAAAUGUCUGUACCUUAAUGGUGUGGUGUUUUCAUGACUUUUUGUUUGUCAAGACUCACCGAACCGUACACCCGCAAAUGGUAAAUUCUACUGAAUAUAAAUUAUAUUUAAUCAAAUCAUACUUUAAAAUCACACUUUAAAAGAAAAAGUGAGAAACUGAUUAUGGACCAGAGGCUUGUGAGCCUGCUAAAAAUCUCCCAGGAAGUUAUUUAUACAGAUUUAACUUGCACUUAGCACCCUGUUCUUAGUAUAAUCGUUGUUUAUUCAGAUGCUAAGGAAAAAAAAAAUUGUCCUACCCUAGAAGCAAAGAAACCUCAUUAGCCACUGUUUCUGAGAAGGAACAAUAAUUAUGAGAAUCCAAUGAUGACACCACCACCCUUCAGAGUUUGUGCACUGGUGACAGUCUUGCAAACUGUGAUCUGGAUAGGGCCAGACCUCUGGGAGGAGAAAGGCAUUUUCAUUUGAGAAACUCUGUGACCUUGCAUUCUACCCUUGGAGAAGUCACAUACAUGUCACUGCUACACUGUCUAAUUUCUCCAAAUGUGACACUGCAUAUUUCUGGGCUUCAGUCUCCCCACCCCUAGGAAGUACGAGAGCCUUGGUUCCCCAGAAUCAUAUUCAGUGUUUGUUUUAAGAGAUGUAAUAAUUGUCAAUAUUUUAAAGAUGCUUAUCAUGUGCCACCUACUGUGCUAACAAUUCACAGGUGUGAUGAGUGCCUGUUCCAUUUCCUAGACAACCCCAUGUGCUAGAGAGGCUGGCACACAGUAGAUGUGGUUGGUAUCCUUCCCCUUUCCUUUCACUCUGACCACUUCAGUGCUCUUGGCCUGACUUCCAGCUUCCUGAGCUCUUCCUCUGUUAAAACCUACUUUUCCCAAAUAUGCAGCAUAAUGAAAGUAGCCCCAUUGUGCAAUGAUUAACAGAAGCAGGUAUGCAAAUCUCCCAGCUCCCUGGCCUUAUGGGUGAGAUAACUCUGAAAUCUAUACUCUCGACCAGCUUCCAGAAUUCCCAUAGGGAGUUUACUCCUCAAACACCCACCCUUUACUAGCUGCCUUCCUUUCAUCUUUCUAACCUCCCUUGUAUUAUAAUGUGGUGGUUGCUUCCCCCUAUAAACUACUUAUACUCCAAUCCUUACCUCCUGUGGUCUGCAUCUAAAGUAACCCAAACUGGGAGCCACAAUGGCACCUUGAAGAGUUACUGUAGUAAGAAUCAUGAGAACCUGUUCUCAAAGGAAGCUCAGAGACCUCAUGUGGGAUUGAAUUAAAUUCUUUAAAACCUAGGAAUAAUGUCCUAAAUGUCAAAAGGAAGAGAGUUCAUGGAGAGUUGCAGUGCAGAGGAAAGGCUUUCUAGAAGUGGUGAGAAUUGAGUUCAGGAUUUAACCAUGAGUUAGAGUUGAGGUGGUGUCCCUUUAGUUGCAUAGCACAAAGCUGUGGCUGAAUUGUUAUGGUUGCAGAAGGAACACAGUCGGGACGCUGGUCAAGGCGAGCAGGUCCAGGAUGUAAGCCAUGGCCCAAGGUGGACAGAUUGAAUCUGCCUGGAAACUUAGCUUCUUUUCACAAUACCACGACUCUACAAGCCAGGCCUCCUCCUUUCAAGAACUUGAAAGAAAUCAAAUAAAUUGUGUGGCCAGCUCUUCUGAUGAUAACUGACAGGCAGACCCAGAUUCCUGAGUGUCUCUAAGCUCCUUGCCAGGGCCAGGGUGGGCAGUACUGUCUGGAAAAUAUAGUGGCUCCAGGAGCAAUUUCUUUAUGCCGAUUCCAAAGAGAUAAACUGGAUUGAUGAUGCACCAAAUAUGACUACCUUUGUGAGCAGCCGUUGCUUGUGAGUAAUAAUACCUACAUCACGGGACUGCUGUGGGUAGUGGCAGAAGGGUGAUCUUGUACUUGGUCCCUAGGCUUGGAUCUUGGAGGAAUGACCUGCCCCGCUAUGUCAAAACCAUAAAAUGGAGACCAUGAUCUCAUGAUCUCUACUUCUUAAGGUAAAGAGUUUUAUGAGCUGACACAUGUGGAGUGCCGAACUGAUGCUCAGUAAGUACCAUUAAAUCACAGCCUAAAGACAUGUGGGGAGGACCAGACUUGGAGAGAAAUUGACCACAUCUUUUUCUGAGUCACCUCUCCCUACUCAUUUUACCCAAGGACACAGCUCCAGGGUGAAGGAAGAUUAGUCCUGAAGCUAAUUAACUUGCACUUCAGGGCUCCACAAAGCCCAGAAUUUUGUAUUGAUACCUUUUUUUUUGUUGUUGUUAGUGUUCCCUCUUCCUGCUGGAAAAGAUUUGGUCUCUACUACCUGAAUUCACUUCUGACUGGGAGCAAAGGUUCUUGAUGGGGGCAUUCUCUGGGCUCACCUUGGAGUGCAGGUGAAACUAAAGAGUGAAUCCCACCAGAAUCAUCCUCAUAGGUCCACUGGGGUUUCUUUUGGUCUCCUCUUCCUUCAUCAUUUUCUCCUCCAUACCAUUCUUGCAUAACAGAGUCACAGAAUGUUCAAGCAGAGAGAGCAGUAAAUUUUACUUCUCUGUUGGAAGGAAGGAAGAAAUAGAGAGAGAGAGAGAAGGGAAGGGAAGGAGAGGGAAGGGAGGAAAAAAGAGGGAAGAAAGGAAAUAAAGAAGAGAGAGAAAAAGAAAGAAAAGGAAGAAAAAGGAGGGAAGAAAGGGGAAAAGGAAGGAAGAAAGGAAAUAGAAGAAAGAGAAAUGAAAAAGAGAGAAAGGAAGGGAAGGAAGGAAGAAAGGAGGAAAGAAAGGAGAGAGAAAAAAGAGAAAGAAAGAAGGAAAGAAAGAAAGGAGAAUGAAAUUUGCCCAGUGGCUGGGUCAGGCUAGAGCUGAAGUUUCCUGUACUCUGUCCAGAAUGCCUUUCUCACACUGUGCCCUCCCUCCCUUCCUUGUUUCCCCCUCUUUCCUUCUCUUCCUUUGUUCCUUUCUUCUAUUUGUUUCCUAGAAAUAAAGAAGUUUUAUCUUUUCUCUAAAGGAAGUCACUUCAUGAAAGUGGUCAACAAGGGACAAAGAGCUCUCUAAUUUUUUUGGCGUCCUGCUUUGGGAUUCAAUUGUUUUCACUGACCUUUUGUGCUCUUAGUUUAUGAAAAAUCAAUAGUUUAAUAUAGAAAAAAAAAGUCCCCUGGCUAUCUGUUUAGAGCUAUAUUGCCUUCAUUGCAGGACUCUGUCUCUGCCUGCCUGCCUGCCAAGAAUCCCUAACUCAGAUUGUCUUGUGCAGCGUCGGCCCAGCUCUCUGGAGCCAAUCCACCAGAUGCAGAAUGAUAAUAAUAAUAAUAUUAGGAGCAGAACCCACUCACGUGUCCAUGACUGAGUAUUUCUCAGAGGCCUUUCAUGCAUAAUGACACUCAUACAUAGUUAUACCCAAUAAAUGGUCAACUAAAUUGCUUCAAAUUGUUAAAUGCAGCACCCAAAGAGAGUAAACACCAUUAUCCCUAUAAUAGUAAAAGAAGCUGCUAUGCAUUGUCUACUGUGUUUCUCAGUAUUAAUACUAGUUUUGUCAUUUUUUCAGAAUAUUUAUCUAAGGAAAUAAUUAUCACCCCAUUUUAUAGAUAAACUGAAGCUCAGAGUUGGUAUGACUUGCCCAAGGUCACUGUGGAAGCACAAUUGGUAUAGAAGCGUCCCCUUUUCUGGAUAAAGCCCACAUUUUCCCUACUAACUGUCAGGCUCUCUUGUCUUAGGGAAUGAUAUAAUCCAGAGGGACUUAGUGCUGAUCUCCUACACAGCCAUGCUUUAGAUCUUUUCCCUUGUUCUUUCCCCAUUCUCAGAUGUCUUAGUCCAUUUGGGCUGCUGUAACAAAAUACCAUAAACUGAUUAGCUUAUAAACAACACAAAUUUAUUUCUUGCAAUUCUGGAGAUUAGGAAGUCCAUGAUCAAGGAUGAUUCAGCAUCUAGUGAGGGUCUGCUUUCUGUUUCAUAGAUAUGGCCUUCUAAUUGUAUUUCCGCCUGGUGGAGGAGGCAAGGCAGCUCUCUGGAGCCUUUUUUAUAAGGGCACUAAUUCUAUUCAUAAGGGGCUUGCCCUCGUGACCUAAUUACCUCCUGAAGGUCCCUCCUAUUACCAUCACAUUAGUGAUUAGAUUUGGGUGCUUACAUUUUGGGGGAGCACAAACAUUCAGACCAUAGCACCAGACAACAAAGACUGGAUUAAGCAGUGUGCACCCUUCAAUGGAGGGCCACAAACUCUUAGGCUCUACAGUGGCCCAUGAGCUGUGCUCCAACUCAAGAUACAGCAGGCCACUGGGUUCCUUCCUUAAGAGUUUGGACUUGGGAAACACAGGGAAUGAACAAGUUGGUAGCCACUUCAGGUGCUAGAAAGUCUUACAAACACUGUGGCUGGGAUAGCCCUCAUUGUCAAUGCUUAGGAUAAGACAGAAACAGUUUGGAGAUACUACCCAGAGUAAUUUAUAUAUUCAAUGCUCUUCCCGUCAAACUACCAUUGACAUUCUUCACAAAAUUCGAAAAAACUAUUUAAAAUUUCAUAUGGAAUCAAAGAAGACACUGUAUAACCAAAACAAUCCUGAGCAAAAAGAACAAAGCUAAAGGCAUCACCUUACCUGACUUCAAAUUAUACUACAAGGCUGCAGUAACCAAAACAGCAUGGUACUGGUACCAAAACAAACAUUUAGACGAAUGGAGCAGAACAGAGACCUCAGAAAUAAUACCACACAUCUGCAACCAUCUGAAUUUUGACAAACCUGACAAAAACAAGCAAUGAAUAAAGGCUCUCCUAUUCAGUAAACGGUGCUGGGAAAACUGGCUAGCCCCAUGCAGAAAAUUGAAACUGGACCCCUUCCUUACACCUUAUACAAAAAUUAAUUCAAGAUAGUUUAAAAACUUAAUUGUAAAACCCCAAACCAUUAAAACCCUAGAAGAAAACCUAGGCAAUACCAUUCAGGACAUAGGCAUGGGCAAAGACUUCAUGACAAAAACAUCCAAAGCAAUGCCAACAAAAGCCAAAAUGGGCAAAUUGGGUCUAAUUAAAAUAAAGAGCUUCUGCACAGCAAAAGAAACUAUCAUCAGUGUAAAUAGGCAACCUAAAGAAUGGGGGGGAAAUUAUUGCAAUCUACCCAUCUGAUGAAGGUCUAAUACAGAAUUUACAAGGAACUUAAACAUAUUUACAAAAAAAAUCAAAAAGUGAGUAAAGGAUAUGGACAGACACUUCUCAAAGGAUGACAUUUACUCAACCAGCAAACAUGAAAAAAUGCUCAACAUCACUGACCAUCAGAGAAAUGCAAAUCAAAACCACAAUGAGAUACCAUCUCAUGCCAGUCAGAAUGGCAAUUAUUAAAAAGUCAGUAAACACUGGAUGCUGGUGAGGCUGUGGAGAAAUAGGAGUACUUUUACAAUGCUGGUGGGAAUGUAAAUUAGUUCAACCAUUGUGGAAGACAGUAUGGAGAUUUCUCAAGGAUCUAGAACCAGAAAUACCAUUUGACCCAGCAAUCCCACUACUGAGUAUAUACCCAAAGGAGUAUAAAUCAUUCUACUAUGAAGACAAAUGCACAUGUAUGUUUAUUGCUGCACUCUUUACAAUAGCAAAGAAGUGGAACCAACCCAAAUGUCCCCAUCAGUGAUAGACUGGAUAAAGAAAAUGUGGUACAUAUACCCCCCACGGAAUACUAUGCAGCCACAGAAAGGAAUAAGAUCAUGUUCUUUGCAGGGACAUGGAUGAAGCUGGAAGCAAUUAUCCUCACAAACUAACACAGGAACAGAAAACCAAACACCUCGUGUUCUCACUCAUAAGUGGGAGUUGAACAUUGAGAACACAUGGACACAGACAGAGGAACAACAUGCACCAGGGCUUGUUGCGGGGUGAGGCGUGAAGGGAGAGGACUUAGAAGAUAGUUUAAUAGGUACAGAAAACCAUCAUGGCACACAUAUACCUAUAUAAUAAGCCUGCAUGUUCUGUACAUGUAUUUCACCCACACCCUUUUUUUAGAAGAAAUAAAAAGCUUGGAGAAUGAAGGAGGAGGAGAUAGAGUGAGCAAAAAAGAGAGAAAAAGGUUGUCCAUGCCUAUGUGGUAGGGGGAUCUAGGUGAAAGAGAAAGACAGAAUAGAGGAGAGAGGAGAGGGGAGAGGGGAAGAGAGGGGAUGGGAGAGGGGAGGAGAAGAGAGAGGAGAGAGGAGAGAGAGAGGUGGCCAGCCUGCAGCUGCAGCUCCCAGCUGUUCCUCCUGAAACCUAGUGUUUCAGCAUUUCCUGCAGGUCUAAGGAGAUGCACCCUUUGAAAGUAACCUUAUUCUCUACUUCCUGAUAGAAUUGGGUUUAAGAAGCCAUGUUCAAAGAAGUGACUUGGCUAAAAUCGAAGAAUGGGUCCAUUGUGGAGCCACGAGGACUCCAAUUUUCUGAAACCAGCCCAGUGCCCCACCACCAAGCUGGGUUCAGGUCAGCAAACUGCAGCCCACAGACCAAAUCUAACUAGCUGCUCCAUUUGUAAAUAAAUUUUUAUGAUAGCAUAACUACACUCUUUUGUUGAUACAUUGCCGAUAGCUGUUUUCAGGCUACAGUGGCAGAGUUGGGUAACUGCUCCAAAGAUGAGAUGACUCACAAAGCCCAAAAUAUGUACAAGCUGAAUAUUUUCAGAAAAGUUUGGUGACUUCUGCAUUAAGCCCAACAAGUUCAUGGUACAGGAGGACAGGAAUAGUGUUCAUAACUAAGGUCACUUUAAAGGUUUUCUAGACCCUGGACAAUCUUAUUUUGGGAAACCUUGUGAAAUACCUUUACAUCUCACAUUACAUAUGUUUCCUUAAGACUUAAAAUGGACUACAGUUGACAUAGUUAACAUAGUGUUACAUUUUAGAGAUACUUCAUUCAACGCUUGAUUUUUAUUUUAUAGCUUGCAUUCGUGUGUGUGUUUUGAACCUACUAUUUCCGUCUCACAGGCUUCUUGCUUAUAUCUAUAGGCCCUUGUAGACAAAAUAGGCUGGCUCCUAGCAACUUAAAUGUCACCCUUUCCUUUUAUUCUCUCAAUUCUAUUGUUUUUAAUAGCUUCACUGAGGCAUAAUUUACAUGCCAUAAAAGUCAAUGAUUUUACAGAUUUGACAUUGAAUUGUACAAUUCAAUGAUUUUUAGUAAAUUUAUAGAAUUAUGCAACCAUUACUAUAAUCCAGUCUACAUCUAAUUUUAAGGCAACUUGAGAUGUUAUCUUGUAGUAUACUUUUCUUUCUAAAUAAUUUAUCACCCUUCCAAGAUGUUAUGCUCGUUGAGGGCAGGCAUGACCACCUUAACCCAGUAUGUCUUCAUGUUAACUUGAUUAUACCUACAAAGACCCUAUUUCCAAAUAAGAGCACAUCUGAGAUUCCAAGCGGGCCUUAACUUUGGGAGGAUAUUUUCAGCCCUGUAUAAUCAUCAGCAUUAUCAUUAUUGUCAUCAUCAUCAUCAUUAUAGAAGAUGAAAUAAAAAGUGCCUCAUAAAUUCUAGCAAAGCAUAAGUGCUCAAUAAGAAGUAGCCUUUAAUAACAACAAUAACAACAAUAAUAAUAAUUAAUAAGACAAGUAUAUAUAAUAUCUAGUAUCAUGCUUAACAAUUAGUGGGACUGUUCAUUCUUUUUCCCUAGAACACGUAGCACAUAGGGAUACACAUAGUAGGGUGCUCAAUAAACACAGAUUGAACAAAGAACACAUUUUAGUUUCUUAGAAAAAGCCUCACCAUUUUUCUCCAAGAAAUUGACAUCUGAUGUGGGCUGGAGCAGCGGGUAGGGCUGUCACCUGUGAGCAGGAAGUGUGAGUGGAUGAUGGGCAAGCUCCCUGCUGUAGGCGCUGACGGCCACUCCUAAUGAGACAGAGUGAGAAAUGAGCUUGAUCUGUGGAGCUGGAAUUUAAUCCUUCCUGAGCCCACAGGGUCCCAGUGCAGUGAGACCAGCUGUUUUCAGAUUCCUUUCUGGAAAAGCCAAGUUGUUUUUGGUUUAAAAGUAUAGGAGAUACCCUUAGAACCCCAUCUAGCCCUCUCAACAAAAUCUCCAAAAUAGCCAGACAGAGAAGGGAAUGGGAGGGCUUGGAUUCCAAGCCUGACUCUGCACCCAAGAUCAGAAGGGCCAUGGGCUAGUUCUUUUCUAUCCAUGACCCUCAGUCUCUUCAUCUGUGAAACAGGCACAAUUUAUCUGCCAUACUGAGCUGUCUUGAAGAUUAAUGAGAUAAUGGGUAUGAAGAAAAUUUUAUAACCUGGAGAGAAAUGUAAACAUGUUAUCUGUCUGGCAGUCUCACCCUACCAGAUCUAAGCUUUUCCUCCCACCCAGCAACUUUCCUGGCUGAUAUGGAUUGCUUGUUCCCUGUUCAUCAAAUUGCAUGCUCAGAAAAACAUACAAGGCUGAUUAAAAUUCUGGUAUCCAUGAGUGAUAACUCCAAGCAUUACUUCCUUAGGAGUUUCUUCCCAAGAGCGACCAAAACCUUAAGCUAGAUAAAUUAAUUCAUUAAUUCAUCCAUUUGUGUUUAUUCAUUUGUUCUUAGAUCUAGCAUCCAUUUAACCAUUAUUUAUUGAGCACUUGCUCCGUGCCUGGCAUUUCCUAGGUACAGAGUUGAAUCCAGGAGGGACUCAGUUUUCAUGAUACUCACAGGCUUAGGUGGGAAGUAUGAUAUAAACACAAAGAACUCCAAAUAACCACAGUAUUUUGUGAUCUGGGGCAAAUCUUUUCCUCUUUCUGGACCUCAGUUCCCCAUCUACAAUAUGAGACAAUUGUAACAAUUGCCCCUAGAAAUGUCUCCCUCCUCUAGCUAUCUAAUAAACAACAGUGCUGUUAAAAAGAAUGCUGAACUAGAAAGCAGAAAAUUCCAAUUGUUGUCCUAACUCUGCCACCAGUUAACAGUGUGAACCUGAAAAGGCCCUUUCCACCUGGUGUGCCUGAGUUUCUCUGUGUAUGCAUGAUGAAACAGAUUAAAAUAAUCCCCAAGAUUCUUGCAGCUUGGAACCCUGAAGUUUAUAAAACUACUCAGCUCCUUCUCUUAGGGUCAGUGACGCCACAGUGGCAGCUGAGCAAACAUUCAGAGGAAGACACUGACGGAAGACACAAAGAUGGAGCUCCUGGAAGCCUCAGCUGUUGGCCGCCAUUUCCUGGGAUGAUCGGCAUCCUGCUGGGGAUGGUGAUAUCUGUCUUCUGCUCUCACAAGCUGAGCAUGAAAAUGUUCGAGGCAGAUAACAGGCAUCUCCUUUCCCUCACUGAGACCAUCCUGGCAUCACAUCUCUGUGUCCUAACCCAGGUGAUGUGAUCAGGCAGGAGACAACAACCCGUGGUGUAGCGGACUUGGGAGACCAGUGGAUAGGGCAAAAUCCGGCUGAACUGGCCUUUCCAGAGAGGAGCUUUUUGUGGUGGUCAGCCUACUAUUGAUUAGUGCUUUGUUUUGGCAGCUUUUUGCUACCAAGGGGGUCCAGUCUUAGAGGUGGGGUAGGAGGCUGGUAGGAGGAGUGGCAAUGGGUGGGUGAUGCUGGCUGAUCAGGCGAAUACAGCAGUUCCCACGUCAGUGAUGGAGAACUUUGGGUGAAAUCUCAAGGAACUUCAUGGAUUCUGAAAACCUUUUUCUACUGUAUGGGCUUGUGGAGCCCUAAUCCUUUGAGAUGCCUCUAAUAACCGAGUGGUUAAAAGCACCAUCUUAAAACUCAUCCUGCCUGCAUUUGAAUUCUGUUUCUCCCACUUCCCAGUUGUGUGGCCUUAGGCAGCUCUCUUAACCUCUCCAUGCCUUAAAAUCCUCAUCUAUAAAACUAUAUCCAUAAUUCAAGUUGUUAAUGUCAUUAAGUGAAUCAAUGCUUGCAAGACACUUAGAAUAGUGUCUGGUGCACAGUAAGUGACAAGAAAGUGAAAGUUCAUAUGAUGUGAUGGAAAAAGGAAAAUACUGCUGCUACUACUAAUACUAAGACCAAUAAUGACGACAAUAAUAAAAACUCCCUCUUAGAGCUUCCGAGGUAGUAGCAUGGUCCAAGUUUUCAGAAGUGCAGUGAGACCCAGAAGUGCAGUGAGACCCUUUAUGACACAGAAGCCCAAUCAGCAUUCUCAAAUUGGAAUUUUUUUCUCUUUUCCAGUAUCUGUCAAUACCUCAGAAAAUGUUCAAACCCAAGCCACUCAUUUUAGAGAUGGAAAAACUGAGGCCCAGGAAGGGAAAGGUGAUUGUGUCUUAGGUUGACAAAGGUGAUUGUGUCUUAGGUUUUGCUCAUAGGGCCACAGCAGUACUAGUGUGCCUGUGUAUCUCUGGCUGAGGCAGCUGAAACCCUGGACUGGUAAGAGUUACUAGAAGGGCUGGGAGAGGAGCAGCCCUGGGCUGCCCAGAGGAGGGAGGCCUCUCUCUUCCUGCAUGAUGAGUUCAGGUGGGCUUCUUAGAGGAUGUCACCUCCAACCUGAAAUCUGAAGGAUGAGGAGCUGUCAGGUACCGGAUAGUUGGGAGAAACAUGGGAGAGAGAGAGCAGAAUGUGCUCCAGGGACUGAGAGAGGUUCAGUGUGGCUGGAGCACUGAUGCUGAAAAAGCUAGUUGUUCAGUUUCCAAGUGGUUGUAUGGGUUUGAGUGUGUUUCUUAAUCCUGAGUUCUAGUCCAAUUGUGCUGUGGUCUGACAGACUGUUUCUUAUGAAUUCUGUUCUUUUGCCUUUGCUGAGGAAUGCAUCUCAGGAAACAAAUGACCAGCACCUCAAGUUCAGUUCAGCCAUGAGCUCACAGAGUAAACCUGGGUCAACCUUUCAAAUCUCUCCAAGCUCCUAUUUCCUCACCUAUAAAAUGAAGAACAUUUUCUCUAAGUACUAGUGCCCCUUUAGUUCUCUGGUUUGGUGGAAGCCUCUCUCUGAUUAUUUUCAAUAUGCUGCAUAUGUUUGAUCUUUACACACUCUGUCAUCUUUGGGCACUGAAGACUCAAUCUUGAUUUGAGUUCAAUCAGAUACCCAUCUGGGUGAAAAAAGGCAAAGAUGAUUAGAUGUGUACUCUGGGAGAAAUUUUUCUCUUUGUCCUUCUUGCCUUGCCCAUCCAAUUUUCCCAAGUAUAUUUCAAAAAAAUGUGAUGAGUAGAACCAUUGAGAGGAAGAGGCUGAACAGAUGGCCAGAGAGAUUAGAUUAGAGAAAAAAAAACGAUCCAUGUUACUUUUAAGGUUAAUGUGAGCAGACAAAAGAAGGUUAACCUGGAAAAUCAAAUUACAACUAGGGAGAUAGAAGAGGGAUAGGUUAAUGGGGACAGGGUGGGGAGUUGUAAAGAGGUAGAUGGGAGGAGCUGGAGUGAUUAGAUACAGGUCCUCAAAGUUCAUCAGGAGAGAUAACCACCUGGAAUGGGAGCUGCUCCUGGAAGUCUUCCUUCUCCUGGACUCCCUCUUAUCCAUCUCCACCAUGCAGCCAGAGGGGUGAUUCUUGGACACAUGUAGGCUCCCUACUGUCUAAAACAUAAGGUCUACAUUCCCUUAGUUGGGCACCAAAGAUGCUUUAUGAUCUGGCCUCUAGCUGUCUCAUCUCCCUGUGAUAGUUGUCCCUGACCACAUAGUGUACCUGGAUGCUUCCUGAACAUUUUGCAUCUUCCAAUACCCCUGAAGUUUUCUUUCUGGACAAAUAAUCCUAUUUCUCUACUUGGUUGCUGUUAUGGCUUGACCAUGCCCCUUAAAAAGAUAUGUUGAGGUCCUAACCCACGGUGUCUGUGGAUGUGGUCUUAUUCAGAAAUAGACUAUUGGAAGAUGUAAUAAAGUCAAGAUGAGGACAUACUGGAUUAGUAUAGGCUACAGCAAUGGCUGGCAUUCUUAUAAGGAGAGAGAAAAGAGGAGACACAUUCACAGGGAAGAAAGCCAUGCAGUGAUGGAGGCAGAGCUUAAUUAGAGUGAUGCAGCUAAAAGCCAAGGAACACCAAGAAUUGCUUGCAGCCAUUAGCUGCUAGGAAGAGACAAGGGAGGAUUCUUCCCUAGAGCCUUUGAAGGGGGCAUGGCCUUGCUAACACCUUGAUUUCAGAUGUCUAGCCGUCAGAACUGUGGGAGAAUAAAUUUCUGUUGUAUUAAGCCACCUGGUUUGUGGUAUUUUGUAUCAGCAGCCCCAGGAAACUAUUAUAGUUGCUUUUCUUUUUCUCCCUAGUGGACAGCUGUCAUUUUUUGUCUGCUCAGCAUCUCCUUUUAUCCUGGGGAUCAAAGUGCCUAAAUUCCCUUUGUGAAACUGACCCUGCCCUAUUUCAGCCAAAGAGUAGAUUAGUGACCUGUGACAUCAUUCAGGCACUCCCUCUUGGAAAUCUGAAUCUUAAAAGCAGAGUGACACCCAAUGGAUGAAUAACUGGAGCUAAGUUCUCAUUUUGGCUUUGUUCUGAAGAGACUGCUCAUGUGUUCCUUCUCCCUAGGUCCCUGGAGCAGCCUCUGUUUCCGGAGAAACCAUCCUUUCAAUAAUUUUUGUUUCCUUGUUUUGUUUGUUAUCUUUUUGAGUUAGCUAGAGCCUAUUUCUGUUGUUUGCAACCAAAGAACCCAAACAACAUGCAGGCCCCAGCUCAAAUUGUCUGUGCUUUCCAAAGUCUCUCCAGCCUCCAGGAGGUAGGUAGGCACUCCUCUGUGCCCCAGACACUUUGCAUAUGCACCUCUACUCUGGCACUCACAUGGUGAUCUGCGUGUGAUUCUGUGAAGAGCUUCUCCACCUUCCACUUCAAGAGAAAGGACUAGGUUUCUCUUGGUGCUGGGGAAAUUAGUGGUACUCAAUUAAUCAGUUUUGAAUGGCUGAAUGAAAGACUCCUCUUCAGAGUCUCCCAUAGAGUUAUGCAUGUAUUAGAUGCUAAGAAAUGAUAAAUUAAUAUAUUUAACUUUAUCUCCCAUCACAGUCCCCGCAGAAGACGUUCCACAAUUCUAAUAAGACCAACACUAAUACGCUCUAAAGCCAGGAGUAGAAUGAAGGCAGUAAGGCACUCUGGGAGGCAAAAUUUAAGGAGAUGCUCACUCUCAUGCUCUGAGUGGUGCAAGUGCUACCCUUGAGUAUUUCCUUAAAUUCAGUGCUUUAGUCCCUGCCUUGAUAGGCUCUCUUGUUAAUUAAACUAUUCUAUGUCCCAGAGCUUUGAUAUCAAAUUCUCAAGAGCCUCAGCCUAAUAUUCCAACCACUGAAAUGGCUGCAUUCUUCCAUUUCCUUAAGGAAAGGAUAAAUAUCUGAAAAUAUGUGAUAGAUACAGUGGGGAAAAACUCUAGACUAGGAGGCAAGAAAAAAUGAAUUUUAUUUCUGUGCUUCCUUUUAAUAGUGUGAUUUCAGGGACAUCAAUUCCAUUGUGUGUCAAUUUCAUCAUCUCUAAAACAGGAGUCAUAAUUAUGUAUUAUUGUUAUCAUAUUAUGUUGUAAAAGUUAACUAAUAUUUAAAGUAGUUAAAACAUGAGCUCAUAGAAGCAUAAUAUAAAUGUUAGUUGUUAUUAUGGUUGCUUGACUUGCUUCAUGAUUCUGUGCUAAUGUCUUUUUUGUUGUUUUUAUAAAAUAGAGGGGAAA
Callithrix jacchus (white-tufted-ear marmoset) is the source of this 26869-nucleotide non-coding RNA. The record is from RefSeq and is a predicted model, not a curated record. Lineage: Eukaryota; Metazoa; Chordata; Mammalia; Primates; Cebidae.